GGGGUUGUGGCGCAGCUGGUAGCGCGUAUGCUUUGCAUGCAUAAGGUCCUGGGUUCAAACCCCAGCGGCUCCA
RNAcentral lists this transfer RNA (73 nucleotides) under Exophiala dermatitidis NIH/UT8656. RNAcentral's name for it is "tRNA-Ala (TGC) (tRNA-Ala-TGC-1-1)". It matches the Rfam family "tRNA". Rfam says of the family: Transfer RNA (tRNA) molecules are approximately 80 nucleotides in length. Their secondary structure includes four short double-helical elements and three loops (D, anti-codon, and T loops). Lineage: Eukaryota; Fungi; Ascomycota; Eurotiomycetes; Chaetothyriales; Herpotrichiellaceae. The record is from RNAcentral.